This 301-nucleotide ribosomal RNA is filed under the name Chironomidae environmental sample. Its description in RNAcentral is "bacterial SSU rRNA". It matches the Rfam family "Eukaryotic small subunit ribosomal RNA", at positions 911 to 1216 of the family's 1831-position model. Lineage: Eukaryota; Metazoa; Arthropoda; Insecta; Diptera; Chironomidae. The record is from RNAcentral.
GUGAAUUCUUAGACCGUCGUAGACUAACUAAAGCGAAAGCAUUUGCCAAGGAUGUUUUCAUUAAUCAAGAACGAAAGUUAGAGGAUCGAAGGCGAUUAGAUACCGCCCUAGUUCUAACUGUAAACUAUGACAGCUAGCGAUUGGGUGUCACUACUUUAUGGGGCCCUCGGUAGCCUUCCGGGAAACCAAAGCUAGUUUCCGGGGGAGGUAUGGUUGCAAAGUUGAGACUUAAAGGAAUUGACGGAAGAGUACCACCCGGAAUGGAGUUUGCGGUUUAAUUUGACUCAACACCGGGAGGGGA